Non-coding RNA from Nylanderia fulva, 355 nucleotides. The record is from RefSeq and is a predicted model, not a curated record. Lineage: Eukaryota; Metazoa; Arthropoda; Insecta; Hymenoptera; Formicidae.
UACUGAAAAUAUAUUUACCUCAAUAAUGUUUUUAAUGGUACUCCAGUUUAUUAUCACAUUUUGUUUAUGCGGAUAUUUGUUGCUUACUUUCUUUAAUGAUGGAAAUGUAAUAAACAUGACAAAUAUUUCACAACUAAGUUACAUGGCAGUUGGUGUUAUCUUUAUACUUAUACAAACUUUUCUCUACUGCUUGGGCGGAGAUUUAAUAACAGAACAUUACGACGAGGUAUUUCGUAGUAUUUGCGAUCUUAAAUGGUACAAAUUGGAGCGACGCCAGGCGAAAAACCUUAUUCUACCAAUGUUAGUAACUGAGAAACCUUUUUGUAUUACUGCUGGAAAAAUUUUUCCAUUAACA